UAUGAAAUUAAUAAAAUAUUAUUGUAUCAAAAUAAUUUUUUAAUAGUAGCUGUUUAUAAUGGUUUUUUUUGUAGACUUCGAUUUUAUGAAUUACCUUUAUGCGGGGUAUAUUUAGAAAUCCCAUGUCAUAUACUGAUGUGCGUAAAUUUAAAGCUGGAUAUCCACAAUGAAUUGUUGUUUAGUUGUUCAAAAGAUGGAUCCAUUUAUAUUUUUUCAAUACAAAAAAUAAAUGAAUAUAUUUUUGAUUCAAAUAGUUUAACAACUUCUAAUGAUACUGUUUUAUGUAACGAGAAUGACAAUUUGAAACAGAACAAUACAUUCUGUGCUAUUCAUGGUACAACUAUGAACAAAACAAAACGGUUUAUAAAUGAGAGUGAUAGUGGUACAGCUAUGGACGGUGAAAUAGGUAACAGCAGUAGUGGAAUAGCUACAUUACAAAAUAACGAUACUUCAGAAAUCUAUGCACAAAAUUUAGAGUGUUUUUCUGCCAAAAAAACAAAAAAAGAAAAAAAGAAAAAAGAAAAAAACGAAAAAGAAAAAGACAACAAUAACAACACAAACAGUACAAACAUAUGCACAUGUAACGAUUUGGUUGGGGGAGACAAAAAAAUAAAAUAUACAACUUUUACAAAUAAUAAUGUUAAAACAGGUGAACAAAAAAAGUUCAGUAUAUCGGAAUUAAGUAAUGGUACAACAAAUGUCACAAAUGGUGGGGAUUUAUCUACGACAAGUGCCACAACUACUGGCUUUGCCAACAUGAACAAAAUAAAUAACAAAACAAAAUACAACUUUUUACUCUACGAUUUGAAUAACAAAACUAAUUAUUAUUUAAGUGAUGACGAGGAUGAGAAAAAAGAAAACAACACGAAUGAAGACGGUGGAGAUGAUAUACUUAUAGAUUUUUAUUAUGUUCAUAAAAAAAAUAAAGAACUAAUAGAAAUGGAGAAAAAAAUUACAAAUUUGAAAAAGCAGAUGGAAUUAAGAAUUAAAAAUAAAGAGUCAAUUUUUGAAGAUGCAAUACAGAAAUUAAAAAAAGAAAAAAAUGAUGAAAUACAAAAUUUAAUAAAAAUUAAUAAAAACGUAAUAAAAGAAAAAGAAAAAGUUGAAAAUAUAUGUAAAGAGUCUUUAUAUGAGUUAGAAGAAAAACAUACUUAUUUUGUAAAUCAAUUAAACUCACA
This 1178-nucleotide long non-coding RNA is filed under the name Piliocolobus tephrosceles (Ugandan red Colobus). Its description in RNAcentral is "lncRNA (ENSPTEG00000016804.1)". The record is from RNAcentral. Lineage: Eukaryota; Metazoa; Chordata; Mammalia; Primates; Cercopithecidae.